RNAcentral lists this ribosomal RNA (1020 nucleotides) under Unicapsula pyramidata. RNAcentral describes it as "SSU rRNA". It matches the Rfam family "Eukaryotic small subunit ribosomal RNA", at positions 564 to 1640 of the family's 1831-position model. The record is from RNAcentral. Lineage: Eukaryota; Metazoa; Cnidaria; Myxozoa; Multivalvulida; Trilosporidae.
GUGCCAGCAGCCGCGGUAAUUCCAGCUCCAGUAGUGUAUAUCAAUGUUGUUGCGGUUAAAGCGCUCGUAGUUGGAUUACAAAAGCUCGAUGGGUCCCGGCCUAAAUAGGUCCGGGAGCCGUGGGGUUUUUUUAUCGCGAGAGCUGCGUGUGGGAUUAAAUUCUUGUACGUAGUCACUUGCGGAGUGUGCCUUGAAUAAAGCACAGUGCUCAAAGCAGGCAUAUGCUCGUAUGUUAAAGCAUGGAACGAAUAUAUUGACCGUGUCGAUUGUUGGUUGUUGACGUGGUCUCGAUUAAAAGGAACAUUUGAGGGCGUUGGUACUUGGUGGCGAGAGGUGAAAUUCUUAGACCCACCAAAGACUCACAAAUGCGAAAGCAUUCGCCAAGAGUGUUUUCAUUAAUCAAGAACGAAAGUCAGAGGUUCGAAGACGAUCAGAUACCGUCGUAGUUCUGACAGUAAACUAUGCCAACAUGGGAUCAGUCCGGUGCUAUCUCGAUUGGUCCCUCCAUGAAAAUAAGUUUUUUGGUUCUGGGGGGAGUCCUCACGCAAGUGAAAAACUUAAAGAAAUUGACGGAAUGGCACCACCAGGAGUGGAGCCUGCGGCUUAAUUUGACUCAACACGGGGAAACUCACCAGGUCCAGACAUUGACAGGAUUGACAGACUAAGAGAUCUUUCAUGAUACGAUGAUUGGUGGUGCAUGGCCGUUCUUAGUUGGUGGAGUGAUCUGUCAGGUUUAUUCCGGUAACGAACGAGACCACAUUCUUUAAUUGAUUACGGUCAUUUUGUUUUGGCCAAUCUUAAAGAGACAACCGGGAUCAACCCGGGGGAAGCGUGGCAAUAACAGGUCUGUGAUGCCCUUCGAUGUUCUGGGCUGCACGCGCGCUACAAUGGCAGUGACAACGAGUGCCUGCUCUGAGAGGAGUGGGUAAUCUUGAAAAUCGCUGUCGUGAUUGGGAUUGAGCCUUGUAAUAAUUGCUCAUGAAAGAGGAAUUCCUCGUAAGCGCGAGUCAUCAGCUCGUG